CUACGGGCGGCACCAGUGAGGAAUAUUGCACAGUGGGGGGAACCCUGAUGCAGCAACGCCGCGUGGAGGAUGACGCAUUUCGGUGUGUAAACUCCUUUUAUAUGUCAAGAAAAUGACGGUAGCAUAUGAAUAAGCACCGGCUAACUCCGUGCCAGCAGCCGCGGUAAUACGGAGGGUGCAAGCGUUACUCGGAAUCACUGGGCGUAAAGGACGCGUAGGCGGGUUGGAAAGUCAGGUGUGAAAUCCUACAGCUUAACUGUAGAACUGCACUUGAAACUUCUAAUCUAGAGUAUGGGAGGGGGAGAUGGAAUUAGUGGUGUAGGGGUAAAAUCCGUAGAUAUCACUAGGAAUACCUAAAGCGAAGGCGAUCUCCUGGAACAUUACUGACGCUAAGGCGUGAAAGCGUGGGGAGCAAACAGGAUUAUACCCCUGUAGUC
This 437-nucleotide ribosomal RNA is filed under the name uncultured bacterium. RNAcentral's name for it is "partial 16S ribosomal RNA". It matches the Rfam family "Bacterial small subunit ribosomal RNA", at positions 339 to 795 of the family's 1533-position model. The record is from RNAcentral.